GCUCGGGUGGUGAAAUUGGCAGACACGCCAGACUUAGGAUCUGGUUCCGCGAGGAAUGGGGGUUCGAGUCCCCCCUCGAGCACCA
RNAcentral lists this transfer RNA (85 nucleotides) under Puniceicoccales bacterium. Its description in RNAcentral is "tRNA-Leu". It matches the Rfam family "tRNA". Rfam says of the family: Transfer RNA (tRNA) molecules are approximately 80 nucleotides in length. Their secondary structure includes four short double-helical elements and three loops (D, anti-codon, and T loops). Lineage: Bacteria; Pseudomonadati; Verrucomicrobiota; Opitutia; Puniceicoccales. The record is from RNAcentral.